RNAcentral lists this ribosomal RNA (107 nucleotides) under Salmonella enterica subsp. enterica serovar Bareilly str. CFSAN000181. Lineage: Bacteria; Pseudomonadati; Pseudomonadota; Gammaproteobacteria; Enterobacterales; Enterobacteriaceae. The record is from RNAcentral.
GCGGCACUAGCGCGGUGGUCCCACCUGACCCCAUGCCGAACUCAGAAGUGAAACGCCGUAGCGCCGAUGGUAGUGUGGGGUCUCCCCAUGCGAGAGUAGGGAACUGC